AGGCAAUCAGACCAUGGCCUGAGAAUGAUUUGCCACUAAGCUCCGAGCAGAAGGCCAACCGACUCAGGUGAAGGUCCAACCUGAGCUUCCGAUAGGACUGGACACCCGUGAUGAUCUAAUUGAAGGGCAUCCCCAACCGUCUGAGGACCUCCUGAAUAUCUUACUAGAGAAGGAGAACUCGGGCCGGACUGUGAAGAUCGGCUUGUGCUUGGAUGAGGUAACCAAAAGCCGACUAACAGCUCUUUUGUAGGAGAAUAUGGAUCUUUUUGGUUGAUCGACUGCAGACAUGCCUAAUAUCGAUUUGGAGGUGAUAUCCCAUCAUUUGAGGGUGGAUCU
RNAcentral lists this long non-coding RNA (336 nucleotides) under Elaeis guineensis (African oil palm). RNAcentral's name for it is "long non-coding RNA (EGUI_LNC010485)". Lineage: Eukaryota; Viridiplantae; Streptophyta; Magnoliopsida; Arecales; Arecaceae. The record is from RNAcentral.